Molecule: ribosomal RNA, 487 nt
Filed under: Enterobacter sp. cc135
Lineage: Bacteria; Pseudomonadati; Pseudomonadota; Gammaproteobacteria; Enterobacterales; Enterobacteriaceae
Description: bacterial SSU rRNA
Rfam family: Bacterial small subunit ribosomal RNA
Source: RNAcentral
AUUGAACGCUGGCGGCAGGCCUAACACAUGCAAGUCGAACGGUAGCACAGAGGAGCUUGCUCCUUGGGUGACGAGUGGCGGACGGGUGAGUAAUGUCUGGGAAACUGCCUGAUGGAGGGGGAUAACUACUGGAAACGGUAGCUAAUACCGCAUAACGUCGCAAGACCAAAGAGGGGGACCUUCGGGCCUCUUGCCAUCAGAUGUGCCCAGAUGGGAUUAGCUAGUAGGUGGGGUAAYGGCUCACCUAGGCGACGAUCCCUAGCUGGUCUGAGAGGAUGACCAGCCACACUGGAACUGAGACACGGUCCAGACUCCUACGGGAGGCAGCAGUGGGGAAUAUUGCACAAUGGGCGCAAGCCUGAUGCAGCCAUGCCGCGUGUAUGAAGAAGGCCUUCGGGUUGUAAAGUACUUUCAGCGGGGAGGAAGGCGAUACGGUUAAUAACCGUGUCGAUUGACGUUACCCGCAGAAGAAGCACCGGCUAACUCC